Panicum virgatum (switchgrass) is the source of this 2615-nucleotide long non-coding RNA. RefSeq lists it as uncharacterized. The record is from RefSeq and is a predicted model, not a curated record. The transcript is spliced from 2 exons. NCBI's taxonomy places the organism in Eukaryota, Viridiplantae, Streptophyta, Magnoliopsida, Poales, Poaceae.
CCCCCCCCCACUCCCGAGAUCCCGGCGUCCCGCCUCCUAUCGCGCUCUUCCCCAUUGCGCAAUCGCCCUAGCUCUUCUCCCCGAGCUCGCCCAAGCCACUGUCGCGCCCCCCUCCCCCUCAUCCCGCCGCACGCCUCUCUCCGCGCUCACCCCCGCCCCCGUCGCGCCCUCCACUCCACCUCGCGCCGCUGCAUCCGCGCACCUCUCCCUGCGCUCGCCGGGGCAGCGAGACGAGGAGGUCACAGGGCCACAAGCGCAGUGCGCUCUGCCGCCGUGGCCUCCCGUGCCCGUUACACCGCCGAUAAGAAGCUGGCAAGGCAGGCCCCCACACUGGCGGGCGCUCAAGGGAUCCCCACCAGUCUCCGGCGACUCCUACUGGCUGCAAGCCUCCGCGCUGCGCCCAUGGAGGGGCUCUCCCUCAUCGACGUCUCCGGUGAGGCGAGAUCUUGCGAAGCACCCCGUGGAGCUCGGGUGCAAAGAUCCAAAUCACCAAGGACGUCGAUGUGGACACAACUGCCCUCCUACACCCAUUGCUUGAAGGUUUGUUCUUUCUGUACUCUAAUAAUCCCUGUCCACGUAUAUGCUGUUUCCCAUGUCCAUGGAUGAUUGGAGUGUACUGUACAGAAAAUGAAUUUACACUGUGAAUCUUCAGUUUGGUAGCAGGUAGCACUAUGACAGUUUCUGUUUACUGAUCUGUUGCCGAGCUCGCACACAUGCUUGUUUUAUUAGUUCAAUACGAGAUGUGAUUACUUUUAUCAAUUUGCAAAUAGUAGCACAGAAGAGAUGUAAUUUUUUUUUCUUAUGUUUAAUAUGAGCCUCUUCUGUCAAUGGUCUGACAUUCUAUCAAUGGAUUUAGCAAUUGCUGGACCCAGUAAUCAUGUUACUGAUGUACUGCUCAUUUAAAAUGUAUAUAUGUAUGAUUGUAGAUGGAAAAUGACAAAGCAACAUGAGAUGUCCAGGUUAAUGUUUCGUAGAUAUUUGCCUGGAAGAAAUAGUUGCUCAUGAUAGGUUGUUUUGUAAUUGCUGGCUUGACAUACUUUCUUCUUAAAGUUUUGGAGCAAAUAUAUGAGUUCUUUUGUGGAGUAUCAAAUACUUCAACAGAACUACAUAAUAAGUACUAAAAAUAGCUUAAAUGAUGAUCUCUUAGUUAAUAAUGGCUAAAGAAAGUGAAAUAGCUGAUUUAGAAUUAAGAGUAGUACUGAGCUUCGAUCUGUUAGUAGAGAAAAACCGAAUGCAUUAGCUUAUAGUACAAAACAGAAGUAUGAUAGCAAUGAAUUGUCAUGCAGUGAAUUCUGAAGAUGAGAAGCAGACAUGAUCUAACUGGAAGAAUAUAUAUGAAGGAUCCUGCAACAAUCUGUUUAAUCCCCCCCCCCCCCCCCGUUGAUUUCCUAUUGUUAGAGGUAGAGAGUUGAACAAAUGUAACUCUCCACUAGGAUAAAUAAAUUGAUGUGCCUAUUCAAUGUGGUAUGAUCUUUUGACAGUUGCAUGAAGCAGUGCAGAAUGUUCAGUUUAAUUUUGACUAUUUGGUGACUUGUGCUUCAGGCCGCGACUAGCUUAAGUUAAUCACAGCUAUUUCUAGGUCAACUUUCAUGAUAUUUAUGUUGAACAUAUCCUCCUAAAGCAAUCAGGACCAUGAUCUUUUGUAUGAAGUCCUCGCCUUGAUGGAAAUUGCAAAACCAUAAUAUUUUCAGUUUGUUCAGUUUCUUUUCCUCCAUUCAAGGGUGCUGUCUCUCCUGUCUCCUUUGAGGACACUAACCCUACAAGUAAGACUUUCCAAUUUUUCCUUUUAAUUAUGAUUGGUUGCUAAUAACCUUCUUUCUGUACAGUGCUCAAAAUUAUUCUAUCUUGCUAGGUUUGAUGCAAGUAAUUUGUUAAAAUUCUUAUUUUUAUCAAUGCAUAAUUUGAACUACGAACUGUUGGUAGUUGUUUAUAGUUCAGUUUGUAUUACUCACAUUAUUUGGUGGUCCUCAGUUCAUGAAUAAUCCUCUUGCCAUUGCACUUUUAGGCCCUUCCUUUCAGCAUCCGCAUAAAGUUUUCAAGAUUACAUUCUUGAUAUAAUAUGAUUGCAUCUAUAUGUUCUCCUAAAUAGACCUGUCUUUCUUAUAUAAUGCAGUUGGUUCUUGCAUAUUCACACCAAUUUUCAAGUUUUCAUAUGUCGUCAAGUAAAGGUCGAAUAUUCUUGCACUUACAAGGCAUACCUAAAUGGCUUGGUUCAAUAUUUUGGUUUCAGAAGUUGUGAGUUGUGACAACUAUGACGUGGUAUAAUGUUGGUACUCCUAAUAUAUGAGCUGCCUAGCUAUUCCUCAUCUUGCUGGUUGCCAUGUCACUACGAGAGUGGGGGUACAAAGAGCCGCGGAGAGCAUUGCCGGAGCUGACUGAUACGGUUGUGACCGAGCAUUGCCUAUAAAACAUGACCAUGGAUUCAAGAAUGAUUGAAAUAUUAUGUGUGAUAUCUGUAUAUUUUUCUAUCUUUGGAACUAGACAAUUGGCCAUCAGUUCUAAAAGACUACUGCUUAAGGAGUGCAUCGCUAAUAAGUGCAGUUGGCAUUACAUUUUAAAUCAGCUGUUUGAAUUGAAUGAUCUCCGACCAAAUACAAAGCAUAUUCUUCGAAAUA